AACUUUCCAUCUCUCUGUUUCUGCUCAUAAGAGCUUUCAUAUCCAUGGCCGAGAGUGCCUCAGUAGCAUAAUUUCUCAUUAUCCCUCUUCCAUUUUCCUGAUCUCCCGAUGUAAUAGAAAAAAGUUAAGGAAAAAACACCCAAUUAACAAGAAUACCCGUUGCAUAGAUUCAUUCAAGUUAGAAUGGAGGUCGACCUAUUGACCAAUAGCCAGCUUUAGUAGGUAAUUGAAUGGAGUUGAGAAGGUUUGGUGGUGGCGUCGCAUAAACCCUCGAUGGGUCACGUAAUAUUAAUUAUGCCUCAAGGCGUUUUGCCAGUACUCUGAUCCGAGACGAGCCUUGAGGUGAGCCUCAAAAUUAUCUUUUAAAACACUAUUUCUUGAUUUUAUUCCAUUUUCAUGGUGGAAGAAAUUUAUACACAAAUUUUAGAUAUUAAAUAAUUCAUGUAUGAGUAAUUCUUGUGUAGCUAACUCUUGUAUAAUUACUUUAGGCAUAAAUUAUUGCCGCGUAAGUUAGCCUUUCAAACCAGA
This 528-nucleotide long non-coding RNA is filed under the name Capsicum annuum. RNAcentral describes it as "long non-coding RNA (CANN_LNC009607)". The record is from RNAcentral. Lineage: Eukaryota; Viridiplantae; Streptophyta; Magnoliopsida; Solanales; Solanaceae.